Molecule: ribosomal RNA, 1356 nt
Filed under: Triticum aestivum (bread wheat)
Lineage: Eukaryota; Viridiplantae; Streptophyta; Magnoliopsida; Poales; Poaceae
Description: partial small subunit ribosomal RNA
Source: RNAcentral
GCGGCAAAGAAAAAAAAUGCAGCCCACCUUCUUGCCCCGUGCUCUAUCCCACCCCGAUCCGAUCCACCUUCCCGCGCACGCAACCACCGGCAGCCAUGGCCGCCCCUGCCCCGCCCCCAUAUCCGGCCGCCGCGCCGCCUCAUCCCCCGGAUCCGGCCGCCGGGCUACCUCCGCCCCUGGAUCGGGCCGCCGGGCCGCCUCGUUCCCCUGGAUCCACCCGGGGCCGAUCCCGCCACCGCCAGUGACCACCAAGCACCGGCGCGGCCCUGCCGUGUACCUCUGGUACGCCGCCGCGCCUUCCCUGCCACCUAGGCUGCCCCGGCCUCGCCUAGCUUCUCUUCCGGCGACGGCGGCUUCGUCAGCAGAGGAGCCCGCCAUGGCCAUGGGAGACGGCGACCUCCCCGACCUCCCUGCGAGCCCUCCGGCCAAUCGCUACCUCCCCACCCCAUCCCGCUCGCCUCUCGACCAACCAUCGCAUCCCCAUCCCUUCGGUCGACCUGCAGAUGGGGGAGGUCUUGACCUGCAGCUCGGAGGAGUCCCGACCUGCACCUGGUCACGCACGCCUUUCUUCAGUGUAUUUCCAAAAAUAUUGGAGGCAAUUCUUCUCUCUCAGUUCAACAAAAAAAUUAACAGCAGUUCCACCUAUACACGCGUGGAAUGAAACUUCAUAUGCGCGCCUGCCGCAGAUCAUUAACCAUGUGCCCAGGUUGUCGGUCGUCCUCCCGCCAGUGCCUCACCAUGCCUGGGGUUGCCCCUUCUCUAGCACGCAGCUGCCUGCUGUGUGUGCAUUAUGCUUUAUGCGUGUGAGCAUGGCCGUGUGCUUGCGCGUGGUGUGCUAGUGCGCUAUGCGUUCCUUGUGUGUUGUGUAUGCGUGUGGUGUGCGUGCUUGGUAUCCAUCCAUAGGUAGUCUGUGCGAUUGCUAGUGCUGCUAUUGUUGAUGCUUUUCCUUGGAACGAAAUCAUGUAUUUCUUUCUCUAAUUUUGCCUAUUUGAUCAUUUGAAUCAUGGCUCGCUGCCCCAACGCGCCCGCUGUUGCGCUCCUCCUGCCACCUCCCGACGAUGCCCGUGCCGCCAAGGACUCCCCGACGAGCGUCUCGAUCCCUAUUAGCUGCACCUCCUUCCUCUGAACUUUGAGUUUUGUUCAAACUAAACUUACACUGUUGUUGAUUCAGGCGCAUAUCUAUCUCUCCAUUUCCAGUUUCAUGUAAUUACUGUGAAACGGUAAUGUUCCGACGAGUGGAUUUUUUUUCAGAAUAGACAGUUGUGUUGUGCGCCGGGAGUGUGGUUGGUCGCUGUUGUCUCCACCAGCCGACCGUCGCGCCAUGACCGUAUUCUGGAAACUACGGUAGAGAAUGCA